GGCAUGGUGGCUUAGUGGUUAGCAUGUUCACCUAACACUUGCAGGGUUGGGGGUUCAAUUACCGCUGAUGCCC
Molecule: non-coding RNA, 73 nt
Organism: Ameiurus melas (black bullhead)
Lineage: Eukaryota; Metazoa; Chordata; Actinopteri; Siluriformes; Ictaluridae
Source: the annotation of a GenBank genome assembly